RNAcentral lists this ribosomal RNA (492 nucleotides) under uncultured bacterium. RNAcentral's name for it is "partial 16S ribosomal RNA". It matches the Rfam family "Bacterial small subunit ribosomal RNA", at positions 29 to 507 of the family's 1533-position model. The record is from RNAcentral.
AGUGAACGCUGGCGGUAGGCCUAACACAUGCAAGUCGAACGGCAGCACAGUAAGAGCUUGCUCUUACGGGUGGCGAGUGGCGGACGGGUGAGGAAUACAUCGGAAUCUACUUUUUCGUGGGGGAUAACGUAGGGAAACUUACGCUAAUACCGCAUACGACCUACGGGUGAAAGCAGGGGAUCUUCGGACCUUGCGCGAUUGAAUGAGCCGAUGUCGGAUUAGCUAGUUGGCGGGGUAAAGGCCCACCAAGGCGACGAUCCGUAGCUGGUCUGGGAGGAUGGUCAGCCACACUGGAACUGAGACACGGUCCAGACUCCUACGGGAGGCAGCAGUGGGGAAUAUUGGACAAUGGGCGCAAGCCUGAUCCAGCCAUACCGCGUGGGUGAAGAAGGCCUUCGGGUUGUAAAGCCCUUUUGUUGGGAAAGAAAAGCAGCAGGUUAAUACCCCGCUGUUCUGACGGUACCCAAAGAAUAAGCACCGGCCAACUUCGUG